Molecule: ribosomal RNA, 253 nt
Filed under: uncultured bacterium
Lineage: Bacteria
Description: partial 16S ribosomal RNA
Rfam family: Bacterial small subunit ribosomal RNA
Source: RNAcentral
GACGAACCACACGAACGUUAUUCGGAAUUACUGGGCUUAAAGGGUGCGUAGGCUGUGCGGAAAGUUAGGUGUGAAAUCCCACGGCUCAACCGUGGAAUUGCAUUUGAAACUGGAAGUCUUGAGUGUGGGAGAGAUUGGUAGAAUACCUGGUGUAGUGGUGAAAUACGUAGAUAUCAGGUGGAAUACCGGUGGCGAAGGCGGCCAAUUGGCCCAACACUGACGCUGAGAUACGAAAGCGUGGGGAUCAAACAGG